GUGGGGAAUCUUCCGCAAUGGACGAAAGUCUGACGGAGCAACGCCGCGUGAACGAUGACGGCCUUCGGGUUGUAAAGUUCUGUUAUACGGGACGAAUGGUACGACGGCCAAUACCCGUCGUAAGUGACGGUACCGUAAGAGAAAGCCACGGCUAACUACGUGCCAGCAGCCGCGGUAAUACGUAGGUGGCAAGCGUUGUCCGGAAUUAUUGGGCGUAAAGGGCGCGAAGGCGGCGUCGUAAGUCGGUCUUAAAAGUGCGGGGCUUAACCCCGUGAGGGGACCGAAACUGCGAUGCUAGAGUAUCGGAGAGGAAAGCGGAAUUCCUAGUGUAGCGGUGAAAUGCGUAGAUAUUAGGAGGAACACCAGUGGCGAAAGCGGCUUUCUGGACGACAACUGACGCUGAGGCGCGAAAGCCAGGGGAGCAAACGGGAUUAGAUACCCGGGUAGUCC
This 450-nucleotide ribosomal RNA is filed under the name uncultured bacterium. RNAcentral's name for it is "partial 16S ribosomal RNA". It matches the Rfam family "Bacterial small subunit ribosomal RNA", at positions 354 to 796 of the family's 1533-position model. The record is from RNAcentral.